RNAcentral lists this long non-coding RNA (730 nucleotides) under Mytilus galloprovincialis (Mediterranean mussel). The record is from RNAcentral. Lineage: Eukaryota; Metazoa; Mollusca; Bivalvia; Mytilida; Mytilidae.
AGGAAAUGGAAACCGAAUAAGGAAAUGAAAAUCGAAAAAGGAAAUAGAAACCGAAUAAGGAACUAGAAACCGAAAAAGGAAAUGAAUAUUGAAAAAGGAAAAAGAAACCGAAUUAGGAAAUGAAAAUCGAAUAAAAAUGAAUAUUGAAAAAGGAAAAAUAAACCGAAUAAGGAAAUGAAAAUCGAAUAAGGAAAUUGAAAUCGAAUAAGGAAAUGAAAAUCCAAUAAGGAAAUAGAAGCUGAAUAAGGAAAUAGAAACCGAAUAAGGAAAUGAAUAUUGAAAAAUGAAAAAGAAUCUGAAUAAGGAAAUAGAAACCGAAUAAGGAAAUGAAUAUUGAAAAAGGAAAAAGAAACUGAAUAAGGAAAUAGAAACCGAUGAAAAUCCAAUAAGGAAAUAGAAACCGAAUAAGGAACUAGAAACCGAAAAAGGAAAUGAAUAUUGAAAAAGGAAAAAGAAACCGAAUAAGGAAAUGAAAAUCGAAUAAGGAAAUGGAAAUCGAAUAAGGAAACGAAAAUCCAAUUAGGAAAUAGAAACCGAAUAAGGAAAUAGAAACCGAAAAAGGAAAUGAAUAUUGAAAAAGGAAAAAGAAACCGAAUAAGGAAAUGAAAAUCGAAUAAGGAAAUUGAAAUCGAAUAAGGAAAUGAAAAUCCAAUAAGGAAAUAGAAGCUGAAUAAGGAAAUAGAAACCGAAUAAGGAAAUGAAUAUUGAAAAAAGGAAAAAGAAACUGAAU